Molecule: ribosomal RNA, 1410 nt
Filed under: Klebsiella sp.
Lineage: Bacteria; Pseudomonadati; Pseudomonadota; Gammaproteobacteria; Enterobacterales; Enterobacteriaceae
Description: bacterial SSU rRNA
Rfam family: Bacterial small subunit ribosomal RNA
Source: RNAcentral
UGCAAGUCGAGCGGUAGCACAGAGAGCUUGCUCUCGGGUGACGAGCGGCGGACGGGUGAGUAAUGUCUGGGAAACUGCCUGAUGGAGGGGGAUAACUACUGGAAACGGUAGCUAAUACCGCAUAAUGUCGCAAGACCAAAGUGGGGGACCUUCGGGCCUCAUGCCAUCAGAUGUGCCCAGAUGGGAUUAGCUAGUAGGUGGGGUAACGGCUCACCUAGGCGACGAUCCCUAGCUGGUCUGAGAGGAUGACCAGCCACACUGGAACUGAGACACGGUCCAGACUCCUACGGGAGGCAGCAGUGGGGAAUAUUGCACAAUGGGCGCAAGCCUGAUGCAGCCAUGCCGCGUGUAUGAAGAAGGCCUUCGGGUUGUAAAGUACUUUCAGCGGGGAGGAAGGCGAUGAGGUUAAUAACCUUGUCGAUUGACGUUACCCGCAGAAGAAGCACCGGCUAACUCCGUGCCAGCAGCCGCGGUAAUACGGAGGGUGCAAGCGUUAAUCGGAAUUACUGGGCGUAAAGCGCACGCAGGCGGUCUGUCAAGUCGGAUGUGAAAUCCCCGGGCUCAACCUGGGAACUGCAUUCGAAACUGGCAGGCUAGAGUCUUGUAGAGGGGGGUAGAAUUCCAGGUGUAGCGGUGAAAUGCGUAGAGAUCUGGAGGAAUACCGGUGGCGAAGGCGGCCCCCUGGACAAAGACUGACGCUCAGGUGCGAAAGCGUGGGGAGCAAACAGGAUUAGAUACCCUGGUAGUCCACGCCGUAAACGAUGUCGAUUUGGAGGUUGUGCCCUUGAGGCGUGGCUUCCGGAGCUAACGCGUUAAAUCGACCGCCUGGGGAGUACGGCCGCAAGGUUAAAACUCAAAUGAAUUGACGGGGGCCCGCACAAGCGGUGGAGCAUGUGGUUUAAUUCGAUGCAACGCGAAGAACCUUACCUGGUCUUGACAUCCACAGAACUUAGCAGAGAUGCUUUGGUGCCUUCGGGAACUGUGAGACAGGUGCUGCAUGGCUGUCGUCAGCUCGUGUUGUGAAAUGUUGGGUUAAGUCCCGCAACGAGCGCAACCCUUAUCCUUUGUUGCCAGCGGUUAGGCCGGGAACUCAAAGGAGACUGCCAGUGAUAAACUGGAGGAAGGUGGGGAUGACGUCAAGUCAUCAUGGCCCUUACGACCAGGGCUACACACGUGCUACAACUGGCAUAUACAAAGAGAAGCGACCUCGCGAGAGCAAGCGGACCUCAUAAAGUAUGUCGUAGUCCGGAUUGGAGUCUGCAACUCGACUCCAUGAAGUCGGAAUCGCUAGUAAUCGUAGAUCAGAAUGCUACGGUGAAUACGUUCCCGGGCCUUGUACACACCGCCCGUCACACCAUGGGAGUGGGUUGCAAAAGAAGUAGGUAGCUUAACCUUCGGGAGGGCGCUUAC